UACGUAGGGUCCAAGCGUUAUCCGGAAUUACUGGGCGUAAAGGGCUCGUAGGCGGCCAACUAAGUCAGACGUGAAAUCCCUCGGCUUAACCGGGGAACUGCAUCUGAUACUGGAUGGCUUGAGUUCGGGAGAGGGAUGCGGAAUUCCAGGUGUAGCGGUGAAAUGCGUAGAUAUCUGGAGGAACACCGGUGGCGAAGGCGGCAUCCUGGACCGACACUGACGCUGAGGAGCGAAAGCCAGGGGAGCAAACGGG
RNAcentral lists this ribosomal RNA (253 nucleotides) under uncultured bacterium. RNAcentral's name for it is "partial 16S ribosomal RNA". It matches the Rfam family "Bacterial small subunit ribosomal RNA", at positions 524 to 776 of the family's 1533-position model. The record is from RNAcentral.